Molecule: transfer RNA, 71 nt
Filed under: Stereochilus marginatus (many-lined salamander)
Lineage: Eukaryota; Metazoa; Chordata; Amphibia; Caudata; Plethodontidae
Description: tRNA-Asn
Source: RNAcentral
UAGAUUAAAGCCUGUAAAUAGGUAUUUAGUUGUUAACUAAAAGGUCGUAGGGUAAAAUCCUGCUAGUCUAG